CUACGGGACGCUCCAGUGGGGAAUAUUGCACAAUGGGCGCAAGCCUGAUGCAGCCAUGCCGCGUGUAUGAAGAAGGCCUUCGGGUUGUAAAGUACUUUCAGCGGGGAGGAAGGGAGUAAAGUUAAUACCUUUGCUCAUUGACGUUACCCGCAGAAGAAGCACCGGCUAACUGCCGUGCCAGCAGCCGCGGUAAUACGGGGGGUGCAAGCGUUAAUCGGAAUUACUGGGCGUAAAGCGCACGCAGGCGGUUUGUUAAGUCAGAUGUGAAAUCCCCGGGCUCAACCUGGGAACUGCAUCUGAGACUGGCAAGCUUGAGUCUCGUAGCGGGGGGUAGAAUUCCAGGUGUAGCGGUGAAAUGCGUAGAGAUCUGGAGGAAUACCGGUGGCGAAGGCGGCCCCCUGGACGAAGACUGACGCUCAGGUGCGAAAGCGUGGGGAGCAAACAGGAUUAGAUACCCUUGUAGUC
This 465-nucleotide ribosomal RNA is filed under the name uncultured bacterium. Its description in RNAcentral is "partial 16S ribosomal RNA". It matches the Rfam family "Bacterial small subunit ribosomal RNA", at positions 339 to 795 of the family's 1533-position model. The record is from RNAcentral.